AUCAUUUGUCAGUCGGCAG
Molecule: unclassified non-coding RNA, 19 nt
Filed under: Mus musculus (house mouse)
Lineage: Eukaryota; Metazoa; Chordata; Mammalia; Rodentia; Muridae
Description: oocyte_clustered_small_RNA3494
Source: RNAcentral